CUACGGGGUGCUGCAGUGGGGAAUUUUGCGCAAUGGGGGAAACCCUGACGCAGCAAUACCGCGUGAGUGAAGAAGGCCUUUGGGUCGUAAAGCUCUUUUCUUGGGGAAGAUAGUGACGGUACCCAAGGAAUAAGCACCGGCUAACUCCGUGCCAGCAGCCGCGGUAAUACGGAGGGUGCAAGCGUUGUUCGGAUUUACUGGGCGUAAAGGGCACGUAGGCGGCACAGCAAGUUAAGGGUGAAAUCCCGGGGCUCAACUCCGGAACUGCUCUUAAAACUGCUGAGCUAGAGAUAGUCAGAGGCGGGUGGAAUUCCAGGUGUAGAGGUGAAAUUCGUAGAUAUCUGGAGGAACACCGGUGGCGAAGGCGGCCCGCUGGGGCUAUUCUGACGCUAAGGUGCGAAAGCGUGGGGAGCAAACGGGAUUAGAUACCCGAGUAGUC
RNAcentral lists this ribosomal RNA (439 nucleotides) under uncultured bacterium. Its description in RNAcentral is "partial 16S ribosomal RNA". It matches the Rfam family "Bacterial small subunit ribosomal RNA", at positions 339 to 795 of the family's 1533-position model. The record is from RNAcentral.